Molecule: ribosomal RNA, 479 nt
Filed under: uncultured Alteromonadales bacterium
Lineage: Bacteria; Pseudomonadati; Pseudomonadota; Gammaproteobacteria; Alteromonadales
Description: bacterial SSU rRNA
Rfam family: Bacterial small subunit ribosomal RNA
Source: RNAcentral
AUUGAACGCUGGCGGCAGGCCUAACACAUGCAAGUCGAGCGAGAAAGCCCUUCGGGGUGAGUAUAGCGGCGGACGGGUGAGUAACGCGUAGGAAUCUACCUGGUAGUGGGGGACAACAUGUGGAAACGCAUGCUAAUACCGCAUACGACCUAAGGGUGAAAGUGGGGGACCUUCGGGCCUCACGCUACCAGAUGAGCCUGCGUAAGAUUAGCUAGUUGGUGGGGUAAAGGCUCACCAAGGCGACGAUCUUUAGCUGGUCUGAGAGGAUGAUCAGCCACACUGGGACUGAGACACGGCCCAGACUCCUACGGGAGGCAGCAGUGGGGAAUAUUGCGCAAUGGAGGCAACUCUGACGCAGCCAUGCCGCGUGUGUGAAGAAGGCCCUAGGGUUGUAAAGCACUUUCAAUUGGGAAGAAAAGCUGCACGUUAAUAGCGUGUAGCCCUGACAUUACCUUUAGAAGAAGCACCGGCUAACUCCG